This 164-nucleotide ribosomal RNA is filed under the name Escherichia coli. RNAcentral's name for it is "partial 23S ribosomal RNA". It matches the Rfam family "Bacterial large subunit ribosomal RNA", at positions 1 to 165 of the family's 2925-position model. Lineage: Bacteria; Pseudomonadati; Pseudomonadota; Gammaproteobacteria; Enterobacterales; Enterobacteriaceae. The record is from RNAcentral.
GGUUAAGCGACUAAGCGUACACGGUGGAUGCCCUGGCAGUCAGAGGCGAUGAAGGACGUGCUAAUCUGCGAUAAGCGUCGGUGAGGUGAUAUGAACCGUUAUAACCGGCGAUUUCCGAAUGGGGAAACCCAGUGUGUUUCGACACACUAUCAUUAACUGAAUCC